GCAAGUGUGGGGUAGCGGUUCGAGUGUUGGAUUACGAAUCUGAGGAUCAGGGUUCGAAUCCCAGCUCGGUCA
Non-coding RNA from Phrynosoma platyrhinos (Desert horned lizard), 72 nucleotides. NCBI's taxonomy places the organism in Eukaryota, Metazoa, Chordata, Lepidosauria, Squamata, Phrynosomatidae. The record is from the annotation of a GenBank genome assembly.